Molecule: ribosomal RNA, 537 nt
Filed under: uncultured bacterium
Lineage: Bacteria
Description: bacterial SSU rRNA
Rfam family: Bacterial small subunit ribosomal RNA
Source: RNAcentral
CGUGAGGAACCUGCCUUUCAGUGGGGGACAACAGUUGGAAACGACUGCUAAUACCGCAUGACACUUUUGGGAGACAUCUCCUGGAAGUCAAAGCUUUAUGUGCUGAAAGAUGGCCUCGCGUCUGAUUAGCUGGUUGGUGAGGUAACGGCUCACCAAGGCGACGAUCAGUAGCCGGUCUGAGAGGAUGAACGGCCACAUUGGGACUGAGAUACGGCCCAGACUCCUACGGGAGGCAGCAGUGGGGAAUAUUGGGCAAUGGGGGAAACCCUGACCCAGCAACGCCGCGUGAAGGAAGAAGGCCUUCGGGUUGUAAACUUCUUUUACCAGGGACGAAGGACGUGACGGUACCUGGAGAAAAAGCAACGGCUAACUACGUGCCAGCAGCCGCGGUAAUACGUAGGUUGCAAGCGUUGUCCGGAUUUACUGGGUGUAAAGGGCGUGUAGGCGGAGAUGCAAAGUUGGGAGUGAAAUCCAUGGGCUCAACCCAUGAACUGCUCUCAAAACUGUAUCCCUUGAGUAUCGGAAAGGCAAGCGGAA